GUUAAAAAGAGUUACAUGCCUGGGUAUCUGAAGCGGGUAAAUGCGCCCUGGUGCUUGCCAGUAUAGUAUACUGGAUGGCACGCUGCGCAAUGUGCGAGGUGUGGGUCUAUUAGUUAUAAAAUGGUUAAUUGAGAUUGGUGCCAGCCAGCCUACCAGGCUAAACUUAUGGUGGGAGGCGGGUGGUUAUCUCAGACCGCUUUUUAGUAUUGAGCGUAGGUAGAGGCGUGCAUCAGGCAAAUUAAAAGAAAAGAAACUCAUAAACGUAGGUACAUGAGAGCAGAGUUAUAGCAGGAGUCCAACAGGUUAAAUAAGGUCUGUAGUAUCAUG
Molecule: non-coding RNA, 327 nt
Organism: Pelobates cultripes (western spadefoot toad)
Lineage: Eukaryota; Metazoa; Chordata; Amphibia; Anura; Pelobatidae
Source: the annotation of a GenBank genome assembly